Molecule: ribosomal RNA, 497 nt
Filed under: uncultured bacterium
Lineage: Bacteria
Description: partial 16S ribosomal RNA
Rfam family: Bacterial small subunit ribosomal RNA
Source: RNAcentral
GAUGAACGCUGGCGGCGUGCCUAAUACAUGCUACUCGAGCGAACGGACGAUAAGCUUGCUUCUCUGAUGUUAGCGGCGGACGGGUGAGUAACACGUGGAUAACCUACCUAUAAUUCUGGGAUAACUUCGGGAAACCGGUGCUAAUACCGGAUGAUAUUUUGAACCGCAUGGUUCAAAAGUGAUAGACGGUCUUGCUGUCACUUAUAGAUGGUUCCUCGCUGCAUUAUCUAGUUGGUAAGGUAACGGCUUACCAAGGCAACGAUGCAUAGCGGACAUGAGAGGGUGAACGGCCAAACUGGAACUGAGAAACGGUAAAGACUCCUACGGGAGGAAGAAGUAGGGAAUAUUGAGAAAGGGGCGAAAGAAUGAAGGAGCAAAGCAGCGUGAGUGAUGAAGGUCUACGGAUCGUAAAACUCUGUUAUUAGGGAAGAAAAUAAGAGUAAGAAAAUGUGCACAUAGUGACGGUAACAAAUAAGAAAGAAAGGGCUAAGUACGUG